Molecule: unclassified non-coding RNA, 260 nt
Filed under: Hevea brasiliensis (rubber tree)
Lineage: Eukaryota; Viridiplantae; Streptophyta; Magnoliopsida; Malpighiales; Euphorbiaceae
Source: RNAcentral
GUAGAUCUGGUACCCAUUUUUUCCUCACCCAUUUACUGAAGUGUAUUUAUUUUUACAUGGAAAAACUGUCAUUUUCAUUGUUGGAAAUAGUUUUUAUGAUAAUACAUCUUUUAUUUUAUUAACAUUUUUUGUAGGAGCAUGGUGCAGUCUUGAAUACUUGUAUUGUGCUGUGUGAUAGCUUGUGUUACGCAGUCCAAUGUCCAUGUAUCUGUGGUAUCUAAUAGAGUGAAUAACAUGAGUUCAUAGACCAUGCGCAGGGU